This 77-nucleotide transfer RNA is filed under the name Escherichia coli. Its description in RNAcentral is "tRNA-Ile". It matches the Rfam family "tRNA". From Rfam's summary of the family: Transfer RNA (tRNA) molecules are approximately 80 nucleotides in length. Their secondary structure includes four short double-helical elements and three loops (D, anti-codon, and T loops). The record is from RNAcentral. Lineage: Bacteria; Pseudomonadati; Pseudomonadota; Gammaproteobacteria; Enterobacterales; Enterobacteriaceae.
AGGCUUGUAGGUCAGGUGGUUAGAGCGCACCCCCGAUAAGGGUGAGGUAGGGGGUUCAAGUCCACUCAGGCAUACCA